This 399-nucleotide ribosomal RNA is filed under the name uncultured bacterium. RNAcentral describes it as "partial 16S ribosomal RNA". It matches the Rfam family "Bacterial small subunit ribosomal RNA", at positions 338 to 754 of the family's 1533-position model. The record is from RNAcentral.
CCUACGGGUGGCAGCAGUAGGGAAUAUUGCUCAAUGGGGGAAACCCUGAAGCAGCAACGCCGCGUGGAGGAUGAAGGUUUUCGGAAUGUAAACUCCUUUUGUUAGAGAAGAGAAUGACGGUAUCUAACGAAUAAGCACCGGCUAACUCCGGGCCAGCAGCCGCGGUAAUACGGAGGGUGCAAGCGUUACUCGGAAUCACUGGGCGUAAAGAGCGCGUAGGCGGGAUAGCAAGUCAGCUGUGAAAUCCAAUGGCUUAACCAUAGAACUGCAUUUGAAACUGUUAUUCUAGAGUAUGGGAGAGGUAGGUUGAAUUCUUGGUGUAGUGGUCAAAUCCGUAUCGAUCAAGAGGAAUACUCAUUGCGACGGCGACCUGCUAGAACAUACCUGACGCUGAUGCGC